RNAcentral lists this long non-coding RNA (488 nucleotides) under Nicotiana tabacum (common tobacco). Its description in RNAcentral is "long non-coding RNA (NTAB_LNC003179)". The record is from RNAcentral. Lineage: Eukaryota; Viridiplantae; Streptophyta; Magnoliopsida; Solanales; Solanaceae.
ACAAACAACACAAACAAAAUUUCCUAACCCAGUUUGCACUGGGAAGGUUUGUGAGUCGUUAGCAAAAUCGUAGCCCACCGACACUACUGAUGCAAUGCUGAGAGUGAACUAAAUACUAGACUAGGAUGUGCAUCUCCUACAAGUAAAAUCUCAAUUUAGGAAGUGAGUCUCCUAAAAUAAAAUAUAACCUGAAAAAGCCAAGCUAGGAAGCGCGCCUCCUAUUGGUAAGACAUGGAACGUAUUCCCUUGUUAUACAGGUGGGCGCCUGGCUUCAACACUUGAAAUGAAAAGACUGAAAUGUAUUCCUCUCGUUAUACAGGUGGGCGCCUGACAUGAAAAUGUAAAGACUGAAAAGUAUUCCUCUCGUUAUACAGGUGGGCGCCUGGCUUCAACACUUGAAAUGAAAAGACUGAAAUGUAUGCCUCUGUUCUAUGGGCGGGCUCCCAACUUCAACACUUGUAAUGAAAAAAACUGAAAUGUAUUCCGCU